This 495-nucleotide ribosomal RNA is filed under the name Colletotrichum gloeosporioides. Its description in RNAcentral is "eukaryotic LSU rRNA". The stretch from base 177 to 330 matches the Rfam family "5.8S ribosomal RNA". Lineage: Eukaryota; Fungi; Ascomycota; Sordariomycetes; Glomerellales; Glomerellaceae. The record is from RNAcentral.
CAUUACUGAGUUUACGCUCUACAACCCUUUGUGAACUACCUAUAACUGUUGCUUCGGCGGGUAGGGUCUCCGUGACCCUCCCGGCCUCCCGCCCCCGGGCGGGUCGGCGCCCGCCGGAGGAUAACCAAACUCUGAUUUAACGACGUUUCUUCUGAGUGGUACAAGCAAAUAAUCAAAACUUUUAACAACGGAUCUCUUGGUUCUGGCAUCGAUGAAGAACGCAGCGAAAUGCGAUAAGUAAUGUGAAUUGCAGAAUUCAGUGAAUCAUCGAAUCUUUGAACGCACAUUGCGCCCGCCAGCAUUCUGGCGGGCAUGCCUGUUCGAGCGUCAUUUCAACCCUCAAGCUCUGCUUGGUGUUGGGGCCCUACAGCCGAUGUAGGCCCUCAAAGGUAGUGGCGGACCCUCCCGGAGCCUCCUUUGCGUAGUAACUUUACGUCUCGCACUGGGAUCCGGAGGGACUCUUGCCGUAAAACCCCCAAUUUUCCAAAGGUUGAC